CGAGUAUAUCAAUGGCAAUGAAAUAUGAGAGUUGGAUCCAUAAUGGAUGAACAUGCAAUGCAACGAAUCGGUAGAGGAAAAGAACCGAGUCGACAAUGCAUCUGCUGAUGCGACUGAAGUUAUGCAUCUUGAUAUGGAAGAAAUCAUGGUCAAAUCGACAGGGAUAUAUAAGGGGUAUAUGCUAAAGUUCUUUGGCUGCAUUUGGCCAUGAUUCAAUUUAGCUCAGAGCAGCCGUCCGGUGAUGGAUUGGCAUCAAAGCACAUGCAUGCCCAUCAAUGGCUUCAGUUUCAUCAUACGACUUCAGGUUCAGGGCGGCGAUGGCACGAGAAAUACCUUCUAAUUAUUAUCUUCUGAUGUCUUGAGAAUGUAGACAUAUCUAGGUUGGACACUUGUGGCAUUCCAUGAAACUGCGAGGCAAUAUUUGACUC
Molecule: non-coding RNA, 428 nt
Organism: Lolium perenne
Lineage: Eukaryota; Viridiplantae; Streptophyta; Magnoliopsida; Poales; Poaceae
Source: RefSeq, a predicted model, not a curated record